Molecule: long non-coding RNA, 1362 nt
Organism: Triticum aestivum (bread wheat)
Lineage: Eukaryota; Viridiplantae; Streptophyta; Magnoliopsida; Poales; Poaceae
Exons: 5
Source: RefSeq, a predicted model, not a curated record
CGCCCACGGCGACCGCACCACCCCGCCGUUGACCUCACCCCCGACCGACGCCUUCCUCCACAUCCUUCUGACCCCAAGGUUGAGGUCGUUCCCGUCUAUCUCCCCUGUGUGUGCGCGUACAUCGUCGGCAAGCGUGAGGAUGGGUUGCCGCAGUUGCUUCUUCGCCUUCUCUCAUCUCACGUCCCCAUCACCGGACGCCUCGCCACGUCUCUCACCUUGCCCCUCUCCAUGAUGCAUCGCGGAGCUAUUUCUGGAGGCCGUCGCCACCGCAUUAGUUGCCAGAUGGUCUUCCCCUGCUCCGCUGUGCUUCAGGAUAUGCAGUGUAUGCAUGUGAAGACGUGAAGAUGUUGACUCUUUUUCCUUGGUAGCUGCUUCAGGAUAUGCAGUGUAUGUACAUGAGAAGAUGUACUCUUCUUUUUAGAUCACUGAUGCUAUUUGCGCAGUACUGUUUGAUGCCCAAUUCAGAGUUAUGUAACAGGCUGACUGCUUUCUCUUAAGAGAGAGAAAAAAAAUGCUAUCAUUGGCUGCGUCCAUCAUCACGCACAACGGCGGCUGGCGUUGCUUUUUCUCUUGCCCCGCUCUUCACUGGAUCCAACUCUCAAAGCAACAUGCUAAUUAAUGGCUAUUGCCGUUGGUCAUGAUUUUUUCUGCUGAUUUUUUCAUCUUCCUAUGGAUUUGUUUCUUACUAUAAAUACUUCCCAUCCCAGUGCCAGUGCGGGUAGAUGCAGAUUUACAUCAAUUUGCAAUUAGCCAAAGUAAAAUCUAGGCUGAUGGUUCAUGGUCUCAAAGAAUUCAUGCGCUGCAUUCAGGAGACAAUGAGUCCGGAACAGAUGAGUGAGGAUCAUAACUGGAUGGUUUCAUAGUUGGAUUUCUACCAGUCCAACAGAUUCAUGUCCUCUGGCUAUUUUCCUGGGAAGAUGAUUUGUCCUAUGUUAUCUUCAAGGAUGACGCUAUGGAUGAUCACAUCGGCAAUGGCUUCACUCAAGUUUGCAAUAUGACUGAGAACAUGAUGAUAACAACUAUGCAUCCGGAGGAGGAUCUCACUAGUCCAUUUGCACUUCAACUAACGAGCGACAAUCUUAUGGUAUUUUGUUGCAGCUACUGUUAUAUGGAAUAUGAUGGAUGAGAAAUAGUAAAAUGAUGUGUAUGUAUGUGAUGCUGCUGAUCAUGAAUCUAGGUGACGUAGAAGUGUGUGUGUUUUGUUGUCAUUGGCCUGUGCAAUGUGAUGGAUCCGAAUCUGAGUGGUUUCAUGUAUGCGUAGAAAUGUUUUUCCUUUUGAGCAAGUCCAUGUACAAAUUCUCAUAUGUCAAUUGCUGGAUGUUGAUACAUAGUUUAAUAUAUUGGUAUGUACGUAAACACUGA